RNAcentral lists this ribosomal RNA (661 nucleotides) under Scolecobasidium constrictum. Its description in RNAcentral is "eukaryotic LSU rRNA". The stretch from base 253 to 405 matches the Rfam family "5.8S ribosomal RNA". Lineage: Eukaryota; Fungi; Ascomycota; Dothideomycetes; Venturiales; Sympoventuriaceae. The record is from RNAcentral.
AUCAUUACCGAUGUGGCGCGAAAUUCCUGUCGUGAGACGGGGAAGCUACCCGACCUUUUGUCAUUUUGUCGAGUCUGGCUGGCGGGAUUGCAUUCGUGAGAAGCGAAUGUGGAUUUCGGCAGACGGACCAAAACCUCGGCGGAAGAGGUAGGCGUUGACCUGCCCGCCGCCGGCCGUAGAAGACAAUACACAUUCUUGAGAGCACAACUGAAGUCUAAGACGAUACUUGAAAAAGAAAUAGUAAAAAAGCAAAACUUUCAACAACGGAUCUCUUGGCUCUGGCAACGAUGAAGAACGCAGCGAAACGCGAAAGGUAAUGCGAAUUGCAGAAUCAGUGAGUCAUCGAAUCUUUGAACGCACAUUGCGCCUCUCGGUAUUCCGGGAGGCACGCCUGUUCGAGCGCCAUUACAAACUCCAAGCUGUGCUUGAUGUUGGUCCGGUGUGUAUCGGGUAAAUCUUCUUUUUCGGAGGAAGAGUUUGAGAGACACAGGACUGGAACGCGUUGGCGCCGCCGCCAGACCACGAGCGUAGCAAGACGAGAGUCAAGAAAUCGCCUCGGGUUGGAUCUGACGGACGGUGGCCUGGUUUAUGUAUGUAGUCCGGAAUUUUAUKKUAUAAAAAUUAUGUGUAUGAUAGACUACGACACACACACAGUUUGGCC